AGAGUUUGAUCAUGGCUCAGGAUGAACGCUAGCUACAGGCUUAACACAUGCAAGUCGAGGGGAAACGACAUCGAAAGCUUGCUUUUGAUGGGCGUCGACCGGCGCACGGGUGAGUAACGCGUAUCCAACCUGCCCACCACUUGGGGAUAACCUUGCGAAAGUAAGACUAAUACCCAAUGAUAUCUCUAGAAGACAUCUGAAAGAGAUUAAAGAUUUAUCGGUGAUGGAUGGGGAUGCGUCUGAUUAGCUUGUUGGCGGGGUAACGGCCCACCAAGGCAACGAUCAGUAGGGGUUCUGAGAGGAAGGUCCCCCACACUGGUACUGAGACACGGACCAGACUCCUACGGGAGGCAGCA
RNAcentral lists this ribosomal RNA (356 nucleotides) under uncultured bacterium. Its description in RNAcentral is "bacterial SSU rRNA". It matches the Rfam family "Bacterial small subunit ribosomal RNA", at positions 8 to 353 of the family's 1533-position model. The record is from RNAcentral.